This 374-nucleotide ribosomal RNA is filed under the name uncultured organism. RNAcentral describes it as "partial 16S ribosomal RNA". It matches the Rfam family "Bacterial small subunit ribosomal RNA", at positions 527 to 896 of the family's 1533-position model. The record is from RNAcentral.
GUAGGUGGCAAGCGUUGUCCGGAAUUAUUGGGCGUAAAGCGCGCGCAGGCGGUUCUUUAAGUCUGAUGUGAAAGCCCACGGCUCAACCGUGGAGGGUCAUUGGAAACUGGAGAACUUGAGUACAGAAGAGGAAAGCGGAAUUCCACGUGUAGCGGUGAAAUGCGUAGAGAUGUGGAGGAACACCAGUGGCGAAGGCGGCUUUCUGGUCUGUAACUGACGCUGAUGCGCGAAAGCGUGGGGAGCAAACAGGAUUAGAUACCCUGGUAGUCCACGCCGUAAACGAUGAGUGCUAAGUGUUAGGGGGUUUUCCGCCCCCCUUAGUGCUGCAGCUAACGCAUUAAGCACUCCGCCCUGGGAGUACGGCCGCAAGGCUG